UAAUAAGUGUUUUAUGGCACUUUUUAAAUCCAUAUCCACCUUGUGUGCAAUGUCGGUCGAUCUUCUUUUUUUGAGGAUCGACCAAACAUCAACCUUUAUUUUUUAACUCUUUGUCUGAAAAAUACUAUGAAUAAACUAAUUCAAAAUA
RNAcentral lists this unclassified non-coding RNA (148 nucleotides) under soil metagenome. RNAcentral's name for it is "partial internal transcribed spacer 1". The record is from RNAcentral.